Non-coding RNA from Phrynosoma platyrhinos (Desert horned lizard), 72 nucleotides. The record is from the annotation of a GenBank genome assembly. NCBI's taxonomy places the organism in Eukaryota, Metazoa, Chordata, Lepidosauria, Squamata, Phrynosomatidae.
GUCAGAAUGGUUUAGUGGUUUGAGUGUUGGGACUAUAACUCUGGAGAUCAGGGUUCAAAUCCCAUUCAGCCA